RNAcentral lists this small nuclear RNA (74 nucleotides) under Chinchilla lanigera (long-tailed chinchilla). The record is from RNAcentral. Lineage: Eukaryota; Metazoa; Chordata; Mammalia; Rodentia; Chinchillidae.
CUGCUCGCUUUAGCAGCACCUUUAUUAAAAUUGGGAUGAUACAGAGAAGAUUAGCAUGGCCCUUGCACGAGAAU